CAGGUUGGUUUAUUUUUAUUUUCAUAUUCCAUGAUUCCCAAAAAUGGUGCCAGGUGGCCCAGAGAUUGGACAUCCAGAGGGAGAGUGAGAAAGCUCUUGAGAAUAGAAUGUUCGAUUCUCAGGGUUUGUAGAAUAGUGUUAAUGGAGAUUGUUACCUCAGCCGGGGCCUACUGUCCAAGAAGCCUAGCCUAGCCAUGUCCUAAGAUACAUGGACAUUCCAUGCAUAAUCCUUGGCCUCUUCUAAAAACCUUCCUGUGUGCUGGCCGAUGGGAAUGCCUAUGGUCUGAGCCACAUUGGUUUUAUGGUCUGACCACUGGACUAGACCCAGCUCAAGGACACGACGUAUGAAGACUCCUGCUAAGGUCCUCCUGAUGACUCAAAUCAGCAGCUGCUGGGGAAGAUCAGUGUUGAGGGGCUGUUCACCACUACCCUUGUUCUCAGGUAUCAGGCUUUUUCGUUUAUGUGUGUGUGUGUGUUUAACAUAGUUUUUUAUUUGACCUAGUAGUAGCCUUUUUUUGACAAUAGCAGCUCAGCUUGAUUAUGUGCCCUGGGGCAAAAAAAAAGGCUCUUAUGGUUAGGAUCUGCCACGAGUGCUUCUUUACUCUGGUCCUUUGGUAAUACAUGAAGGUAAUGAGCUCAGGCUUUCCCAUUUGGGGGCAGGAAGGUAGGCUUGGUGGGGCCGUGAAACUCCAGCCACUUUCAGCCAGCAGUAAUGUCUUGUUUUCUACUGUACACAAACGCCUUCACCUUUUUUGGCUUUCUUACCCCCCUUUUCUGCUGUCUUCUAACUUACCUCCUUCUAACCAGAAUUCAGACUUGGCUGAGAGGUCCUGAUGUCCUGUGGUGUGUGUGUGUGAGAGUGAGUGAUAAUGUCAAAUUCAGCUUGGUAACACCUUUCUCUGGCCAUACCCAUUUUCUUUGCAGUGAAUGUGAGUUAAUGCAUAGAGUUUACGUCCUUCUAUGAUGAAUUCUAAAUAAUAUUGAGCCCAGUCUCACAGGUAUGAGGCUUCACUGCUCCUAGGCCGGCUGGAGUAUCCUCAAAGGUCUGGGAACAAAGGAGUGUUUCCUAUACUGUCCCUAAAUAAGUCACCUAUGAGCACUUUGAGAGCAAGAGCAGACGCUCCUACCUGGCAGCUGUCAAAGUACUAGGAUGCCUGGCAUUUUCUACCAGGCAGUCUAACAAGGAGGGUCAAAUACCCUGAAUGAAUACAAGAAACGCUGCCUUUAUGACUCCCUUGAAGCAGAUGAGCCCUGGGGCUGUCAGUAGCCAUCAUUUCAAUAAGCCAAGCAUUGUCCACAUUGACUAUUCAGUCAAGAAAGGAGAUGAAUAGUUUCCUGUUUUAGAUGGCUAAGGAGUCAGUAUGAGCUCACAAACCAAACACCAAUUUUCAGAGACAUCUGUUCCUGAUCUCCAGAAUAAACAUUGUGUUCACUGGCUUAGGCUGGUGGGAACCUAUAUUAACCCUGCUGGCUCUCCUAAAGGGAGGCUGGGCCCCCUAGGGGAUCCAGCCUCUCCAACAAUCAGACUAGGCCAAAAGGCUGCCCCAAAGACAUCUACUUCCAAGGAAAAUGUAGAGAAAAGUUUACAUAAAGUAAGAAGCCUCUACUUGGGUUGACAGCUUUCUGCCAUCCCUCGCAGGCAUACUGAUGGCCAGGUCUUUGUUGGGGCCUUUGUCCUUCAUGAAAGGAAUCUGACUGGUGACGGACCUGGAGGACUCUGCACAAGGUCUUGGGUUUGCCUACCUCCCCCCCCCCCCCCCCCACUGCCACAGCCCCCAUAGGCUGAAGGGAAGCUCAAGGGAAGUUAACUGGGUGCAUAGAUUCCUGGAAACUCCUCCUAUCUGGAGGCAGCUGGAAGAGUUAAAUAUUUAGAUUGGUGGUCUUCCCUGGACUA
Molecule: long non-coding RNA, 1894 nt
Filed under: Canis lupus familiaris (dog)
Lineage: Eukaryota; Metazoa; Chordata; Mammalia; Carnivora; Canidae
Description: lncRNA (ENSCAFG00845013544.1)
Source: RNAcentral